AUACGUAGGGGGCGAGCGUUGUCCGGAAUGAUUGGGCGUAAAGAGCUCGUAGGUGGUUUGUCGCGUCGUCUGUGAAAUUCCGGGGCUUAACUCCGGGCGUGCAGGCGAUACGGGCAUAACUUGAGUACUGUAGGGGAGACUGGAAUUCCUGGUGUAGCGGUGAAAUGCGCAGAUAUCAGGAGGAACACCGAUGGCGAAGGCGGGUCUCGGGGCAGUAACUGACGCUGAGGAGCGAAAGCAUGGGUAGCGAACAGGAUUAGAUACCCUGGUAGUCCAUGCCGUAAACGGUGGGCGCUAGGUGUAGGGGUCUUCCACGACUUCUGUGCCGUAGCUAACGCAUUAAGCGCCCCGCCUGGGGAGUACGGCCGCAAGGCUAAAACUCAAAGGAAUUGACGGGG
Molecule: ribosomal RNA, 398 nt
Filed under: uncultured bacterium
Lineage: Bacteria
Description: partial 16S ribosomal RNA
Rfam family: Bacterial small subunit ribosomal RNA
Source: RNAcentral